This 253-nucleotide ribosomal RNA is filed under the name uncultured bacterium. Its description in RNAcentral is "partial 16S ribosomal RNA". It matches the Rfam family "Bacterial small subunit ribosomal RNA", at positions 524 to 776 of the family's 1533-position model. The record is from RNAcentral.
UACGUAGGGACCAAGCGUUGUUCGGAUUUACUGGGCGUAAAGGGCGCGUAGGCGGCGCGGUAAGUCACUUGUGAAAUCUCUGAGCUUAACCCAGAACGGCCAAGUGAUACUGCAGUGCUAGAGUGUGGAAGGGGCAAUCGGAAUUCUUGGUGUAGCGGUGAAAUGCGCAGAUAUCAGGAGGAACACCGGUGGCGAAGGCGGAUCUCUGGGCCGAUACUGACGCUGAGGAGCGAAAGCGUGGGGAGCGAACAGG